AAAACUGAAUCCAUAAGAUCAUUGUGAUAAACAAGCAUCUAAUAAGCAUACCAAUUACAAGACCCAGACUGCUAGUCAAAUUUACUUAGGUCACCUAGCAAUUAUAUAACAGAGACAAGACAAAGAUUUCACCCUACUAAUGGCUUCAUGCACUGAUUUAAAAUAAUCAAACACUUAUUAUAGGAAACAGAAAUGCAUCAAAAUCUCUGUCCAAACUUCCAUUCAAUUAAAAUUUGAUUUUAAUGAUAGUGUAGAGAAGUUAGAACCUACGUAAUUUCAAAUCAAACAAAGGCAUCUUACAAUGUGAUAA
This 310-nucleotide unclassified non-coding RNA is filed under the name Hevea brasiliensis (rubber tree). Lineage: Eukaryota; Viridiplantae; Streptophyta; Magnoliopsida; Malpighiales; Euphorbiaceae. The record is from RNAcentral.